UGGAUCCAGAACUUUCCUCAUGGCUCAGGAUGAACGCUAGCUACAGGCUUAACACAUGCAAGUCGAGGGGAAACGACAUCGAAAGCUUGCUUUUGAUGGGCGUCGACCGGCGCACGGGUGAGUAACGCGUAUCCAACCUGCCCACCACUUGGGGAUAACCUUGCGAAAGUAAGACUAAUACCCAAUGACGUCUCUAGAAGACAUCUGAAAGAGAUUAAAGAUUUAUCGGUGAUGGAUGGGGAUGCGUCUGAUUAGCUUGUUGGCGGGGUAACGGCCCACCAAGGCUACGAUCAGUAGGGGUUCUGAGAGGAAGGUCCCCCACAUUGGAACUGAGACACGGUCCAAACUCCUACGGGAGGCAGCAGUGAGGAAUAUUGGUCAAUGGACGAGAGUCUGAACCAGCCAAGUAGCGUGCAGGAUGACGGCCCUAUGGGUUGUAAACUGCUUUUAUAAGGGAAUAAAGUGAGUCUCGUGAGGCUUUUUGCAUGUACCUUAUGAAUAAGGACCGGCUAAUUCCGUGCCAGCAGCCGCGGUAAUACGGAAGGUCCGGGCGUUAUCCGGAUUUAUUGGGUUUAAAGGGAGCGUAGGCCGGAGAUUAAGCGUGUUGUGAAAUGUAGACGCUCAACGUCU
RNAcentral lists this ribosomal RNA (630 nucleotides) under uncultured Bacteroidota bacterium. RNAcentral describes it as "bacterial SSU rRNA". It matches the Rfam family "Bacterial small subunit ribosomal RNA", at positions 1 to 617 of the family's 1533-position model. Lineage: Bacteria; Pseudomonadati; Bacteroidota. The record is from RNAcentral.